UUUUGCAUCUGAACUCUUCAAAUAUAUCCUAUAGCCAUAAAAUAUGGCACAAGCAAUAGGGAAAUUAUAGGUUGAUAAGAAUGGUGAAUCAAAAAGUGCCUGUCUUUAUGAAGGAAUCAUUUAAUCAAAAAUAUCUGGCUCAGCCAGAUUAUCAGUUGAAAUAUGUUCCUUGACAGUACGAGAGGUUGUUGUUCUCAGAAAGAACAUUUACAUUGAGAAGAUACUUUGCAUUGAACUGCAUGCUUCAGUGCUCUGAAGGUCUUUAUAGAUCUGUGACUUUAUGAUUUUAUGACUGACUGCUCUCCCUCAUGAUAACAGAUCAUAAAGCAAACAUGACUUUAAUGGCCGUCAUCAUUUGGAUACUCACAACCUGCAUCUGGAGUUCUGUAGGGCAGAUUCUGACUCAAUCUGAAGAUCAAACAGUGAAGCCUGAUCAGACUGUUACUAUUCACUGUAAUCAUAAACCAGCUGUGAACCGUUAUAAAACAGGUACUUCUCAGUACUGCAUGGCCUGGUACCAUCAGAUUCCUGGAGAAGCUCCUAAACUCCUGAUCUAUUACACAUCAGACAGAGCUUCAGGUGUUUCUUCUAGAUUCAGUGGCAGUGAAAGUGGAAAUCACAUGGAUUUUACUCUGACCAUCAGUGGAGUCCAGCCUGAAGAUUCAGGAGUUUAUUACUGUCAGAGUGAACAUAACAAGGGAGUCUCUGGCACCACAGAUCUUGUGUUCACACAGUGUAAACGCAUUAUACAAAAACCUCCACAGCUUUGAGCUUCUGCAGAUGCUGAUGUUGAAGAUCAUUAUUCACCUCACUGACUUUACACACAAACACACACAAACACAGAGAUUCUUUAAGGCUGUUCUGCUGUUGAUUUCCAUCAUGUUUCGCAAUCCUCAACACAUUCUACAUAUUUUCUUAAUAAUAAACAUCAGAAUGUCUCAGUCAGGUUUCCACAUGAAUCUCAGUGGUCACUAUAAAUGAAAUGUUUAAUUCACAGUCUGUAUAUUUAUUUGAAAAAUUAAAUUAUCAGAUUAAAUGAUUCAGUUUAAAACCGGUUCAGUGGAUAGUACAUCCAGUAUAAUAUACCCCCAAAAAUAAAAAUCAAUAGUAUUAUAGCUUCUUUUUGUUUAUUUUAAAAUGUUUAAUAACAUAAUAAGAA
Onychostoma macrolepis is the source of this 1159-nucleotide non-coding RNA. The record is from the annotation of a RefSeq genome assembly. NCBI's taxonomy places the organism in Eukaryota, Metazoa, Chordata, Actinopteri, Cypriniformes, Cyprinidae.